GAUGAACGCUGGCGGCAUGCUUUACACAUGCAAGUCAUACGGAAGUUAGUUUCGGCUAACUUCAGUGGCGGACGGGUGAGUAACACGUGAGAAUUCGCCUUUAGGAGGGGGAUAACAGGGGGAAACACCUGCUAAAACCCCAUAUGCCUUCGGGUCAAAAGAGUAAUCUGCCUAAAGAGAAGCUCGCGGCUGAUUAGCUAGUUGGUAGGGUAAAGGCCUACCAAGGCGACGAUCAGUAGCUGGUCUGAGAGGACGAUCAGCCACACUGGAACUGAGACACGGUCCAGACUCCUACGGGAGGCAGCAGUGAGGAAUUUUCUGCAAUGGGCGAAAGCCUGACAGAGCAAUACCGCGUGAGGGAAGAAGGCUUACUGAGUUGUAAACCUCUGUUACCUAAGGAGGAAGAUCUGACGUUACUUAGGAGACGAAGCAUCGGCUAACUCCGUGCCAGCAGCCGCGGUAA
RNAcentral lists this ribosomal RNA (463 nucleotides) under uncultured bacterium. Its description in RNAcentral is "partial 16S ribosomal RNA". It matches the Rfam family "Bacterial small subunit ribosomal RNA", at positions 28 to 523 of the family's 1533-position model. The record is from RNAcentral.